Molecule: unclassified non-coding RNA, 1752 nt
Filed under: uncultured fungus
Lineage: Eukaryota; Fungi
Description: sequence contains 18S rRNA gene, ITS1, 5.8S rRNA gene, ITS2, 28S rRNA gene
Rfam family: Eukaryotic large subunit ribosomal RNA (bases 645-1752)
Source: RNAcentral
GGAGGGAUCAUUAAGGCUUACUGCUUGAAGCGAUCAGGUGCUGGGGGCUCUCUCGCAGAGUCCUCGGCUCAUUUGUGCGUAGUUUAAGUUUGUCCCGAUAUGUUAUACGAGACCGAUAUACACCUCGAAGAGACCUGCGCAGCUCCGCUGUAAAGGUUUGCUUGUAAUUACGUUUAUGACCCUUAACGAUGGAUGUCUCGGGUUUGAGAUCGUUGAAGAGCGCAGCAAAGCGCGAUAGUCGAUGUGAUUUGCAGAACAUGUGAUGCAUUAGACUCUUGAACGCAUGUGCGCCUGCUAUGCCUCGUAUAGCAGGCAUGCCUGGUUGAGUGCCAACCAACCCUUCCACUCGCCCUCGCUAACACGGGGGCAAGUGGCUGAUGGGAGAGCCUUACUACGAGGCCCUCUUCAAGUGCAAGAUACGUGUUCGACUUGCGUGCUAGCUGACGGAUAGUCUCGAUGGUUUGUCUCGAAGGUUUGUCUCGCUGGUUUGUCUCGAUGGUUUGUCUCGAUAGAGCAGCACAAGCAGCAGGUUUGACUCGCAUCACGCUACGAGCGUGCCUGUUUCCCUGGAUUGACCCCGAAGGUUUGGCCUCGAAGGAUUGAACUCGCGCAGGAAACAGCCAUGUUAGUGCGUAACACCCCUUUGGCCUCGACUCAGGCAGGACCAUCCGCUAAACUUAAGCAUAUUAUUCAGCGGAAGAAAAGAAAACAACCGUUAUUUCCCUAGUAACUGCGAGUGAAUAGGAAGGAGACCAAGGUGAAUCGACGAGGCCAGCUCCUCUGUCGAGUUGUACCCUGAGGAUCAGCGUCGGUGCUCGAUCGUUCCCCAAGUUAGCUGGAAAGCUACGCCUUAGAAGGUGACAGCCCUGUGGGGGAGCGAAGGUAUCGGGUAUCAUCAGCUGCAUCUACGAGUCGUACUGUUUGAGAGUAUAGUACAAAUCAGCAGGUAAGCCCCUGCUAAGCCUAAAUAUGGCUCAAACACCGAUAGCGAACAAGUACCACGAGGGAAAGAUGCAAAGAACUCUGAAAAGAGAGUUAAAAGUACCUGAAAUCGUUGAGGGGGAACCGGUGGUGACGCUCGAGUUGGGGGAUCGAAUCACUGCUCCGCUGGUGAGGCUAGGUUGUCGCUGGGUGCCUACGGGUACUCAUCACGGCGGCUGAACCGAGCUAGUAGGGCAGGCACUUCGGUCUCUCGCAUCCAUUAUCCCUGCGCGCUGGGACUGUUAGGUCGGAACGAUGCUGCGGUUCGCUGCAGGUUUAAGUCUGGCUGAAACGGCCCGGCGUUCUGGGAGGGCAAAGAGGCUGCCCUGCGUAGCGUGCGUUCGCUGGCUGGCUGCUGCAGGUGCACAUCCUAGAUGUGUGCUUGUAGUGGCUGGCGUGUGCGGGCGCUGCUGCUAGCCUCUGCUGAUAAUGGGGAGAUCAUCACCGACCCGUCUUGAAACACGGACCAAGGAGUCUAACAUGUGUGCGAGUCUAAGGGUGGCAAACCCGAAGGCGCAGCGAAAGCGAGAGUAGCGAGAUGCUGUUGGUUACGAUCGAUGGUUGCAUCGCAGGCCCAGCCCGGGGUUCGUCCUCGGGCCUGGAGUCGGAGCGUGCCUGUUAGGACCCGAAAGAUUGCGAACUUUGCUUGCAUAGGGUGAAGCCAGACGAAAGUCUGGUGGAGGCUCGUAGUCGUACUGACGUGAAAAUCGUUGAUCAAAUGUGAGUAAAGCGGCGAAAGACCAAUCGAGCAGUCUAGUAGCUGGUUCCUGC